This 465-nucleotide ribosomal RNA is filed under the name uncultured bacterium. RNAcentral describes it as "partial 16S ribosomal RNA". It matches the Rfam family "Bacterial small subunit ribosomal RNA", at positions 28 to 507 of the family's 1533-position model. The record is from RNAcentral.
GAUGAACGCUGGCGGCGUGGAUAAGGCAUGCAAGUCGAACGAAAUAGAUUAAUUUAAUAUGGUUAGUGGCAGACGGGGUAGUAACACGUAGGAACUCACCCCAGAGACGGACACAACGCCGCGAAAGCGGGGCUAAGAUCCAAUAGUCUUCGAUCUUGCAGGAGCGUCGGAGGGAAUCGAGCAAUGGGGUCUGGGAGAGGCCCGCGGCUUAUCAGCUUGUUGGUGGGGUAGUGGCUUACCAAGGCGAUGACGGCUAGCCGGCGUGAUAGGGUGACCGGCCACAUUGGGACUGAGAUACGGCCCAGACUCCUACGGGAGGCAGCAGUGGGGAAUAUUGCACAAUGGUCGGAAGCCUGAUGCAGCAACGCCGCGUGCGGGAUGACGGCCUUCGGGUUGUAAACCGCUUUCGCCUGUGACGAAGCGUGAGUGACGGUAAUGGGUAAAGAAGCACCGGCUAACUACGUG